This is a long non-coding RNA of Pantherophis guttatus, 403 nucleotides long. RefSeq lists it as uncharacterized. Lineage: Eukaryota; Metazoa; Chordata; Lepidosauria; Squamata; Colubridae. The record is from RefSeq and is a predicted model, not a curated record.
CAUUGUGUCCUGUUUUUGAAGCUCUGUGCAUGCGCAGAAGGUCCUGCGCAUGUGUGGACGUGGCGGGUGCAGUCACAUUUGUGAACUGGUAUCAAAGUUUCAUAUAACCCACUGACUGCAAUGAAGUAUGUCCAACAGAGGAGGUGUUAAAGUUGCUAAUCUGGAUUAAACAUUGGAAGAUAGAGGAAAUCAGAUCCCCAGGGGUUCCCCCUCAUCGUUACCGGCCUCUGUUUCCUCCUCAAUUUGGCUGGGGUCCAGAGGCACAUCAGCAACUGUCAGUUCUUGCUGACUCACCAGUGAAGACAGCCCCUCCAGCACAUAGCUUGUGAUAGCUCUCUCCUCCUCCAUAUCAUCCUCCAACUCAGCAUGCGAAGAUAAAUCAGCCUCCGGGGCCGGGGUCACA